This 65-nucleotide transfer RNA is filed under the name Gonopsimorpha nigrosignata. RNAcentral's name for it is "tRNA-Asp". It matches the Rfam family "tRNA". From Rfam's summary of the family: Transfer RNA (tRNA) molecules are approximately 80 nucleotides in length. Their secondary structure includes four short double-helical elements and three loops (D, anti-codon, and T loops). Lineage: Eukaryota; Metazoa; Arthropoda; Insecta; Hemiptera; Pentatomidae. The record is from RNAcentral.
AAAGAUUUAGUUUAGCAGAAAACAUUAACUUGUCAAGUUAAAAAAACAAAGUAAAGUAGUCUUUA